CCUACGGGUGGCAGCAGUGAGGAAUAUUGGUCAAUGGGCGCGAGCCUGAACCAGCCAAGUAGCGUGAAGGAUGACUGCCCUACUGGUUGUAAACUUCUUUUAUAAAGGAAUAAAGUGAGGCACGUGUGCCUUUUUGUAUGUACUUUAUGAAUAAGGAUCGGCUAACUCCGUGCCAGCAGCCGCGGUAAUACGGAGGAUCCGAGCGUUAUCCGGAUUUAUUGGGUGUAAAGGGAGCGUAGAUGGGAUGUGAAGUCAGUUGUGAAAGUUUGCGGCUCAACCGUAAGAUUGCAAUGGAUACUGGCAGCCUUGAGUGCAGGAGAGGUAGGCGGAAUUCGUGGUGUAGCGGUGAAAUGCGUAGAUAUCACGAAGAACUCCGAUUGCGAAGGCAGCUUACUAAACUGCCACUGACAUUGAUGCUCGAAAGUGUGGGUAUCAAACAGGAUUAGAUACCCCAGUAGUC
Molecule: ribosomal RNA, 460 nt
Filed under: uncultured bacterium
Lineage: Bacteria
Description: partial 16S ribosomal RNA
Rfam family: Bacterial small subunit ribosomal RNA
Source: RNAcentral